UGUGGAGUGUAUAGAAGUGAGAAUGCCGGAAUGAGUAGCGCGAAUGCAGUGAGAAUCUGCAUGGCCGAAAGGCUCAGGUUUCUGGAGGAAGGUUCGUCCGCUCCAGGUUAGUCGGGAGCUAAGGUGAGGCCUAACGGCGUAGCCGAUGCACAGACGGUAGAGAUUCCGUCACCACCAAAAGAGUUAAACACAGGGAUACAUUUGAAGUCUCGGAGCCGGGUGUUGGUUCCGGUAGCGAUCGAGGGAAAUUAGUACCGAAGUCCGGGAUGGAAGAUGGCGAGAAAAGCUGUGUGUAUUUCUGCGGUGCCCGUACCGCAAACCGACACAGGUAGGUAGGAAGAAGAUUCUAAGGCCAACGGGAGAAGGGUUGUUAAGGAACUCGGCAAAUUGACCCCGUAACUUCGGGAGAAGGGGUGCUCCAGAGAUGGAGCCGCAGAAAAUCGGCCCAAGCAACUGUUUACCAAAAACACAGGUUUGUGCUAAAUCGAAAGAUGACGUAUACGAGCUGACGCCUGCCCGGUGCUGGAAGGUUAAGAGGAGAUGUGCAAGCAUUGAAUCGAAGCCCCAGUGAACGGCGGCCGUAACUAUAACGGUCCUAAGGUAGCGAAAUUCCUUGUCAGGUAAGUUCUGACCCGCAUGAAAGGCGUAAUGAUUUGGGCACUGUCUCGACAGCCCGCCCGGCGAAAUUGUAGUACCGGUGAAGAUGCCGGUUACCCGCGACAAGACGGAAAGACCCCAUGGAGCUUUACUGUAGCCUAAUAUUGGGUUUCGAUGUUGCAUGCACAGGAUAGAUGGGACACUGGGAAGCAAGUGCUUUGGCAUUUGUGGAGUGGCCGUUGGGAUACCAUCCUUGCGAUAUUGGAAUUCUAACCUGCGCCUUUGAAUCAAGGCGGGGGACAUUGUUAGGUGGGCAGUUUGACUGGGGCGGUCGCCUCCUAAAGAGUAACGGAGGCGUUCAAAGGUUCGCUCAGCUUGAACGGAAAUCAAGCAAAAGAGUGCAAACGCAGAAGCGAGCCUAACUGCGAGACUGACGGGUCGAGCAGUAACGAAAGUUGGAGUUAGUGAUCCGGUGGUAUGUGAGUGGAAAUGCCAUCGCUCAACGGAUAAAAGUUACCCUUGGGAUAACAGGCUGAUCUCCCCCCAGAGUCCACAUCGACGGGGAGGUUUGGCACCUCGAUGUCGGCUCAUCGCAUCCUGGGGCUGUAUUCGGUCCCAAGGGUUUGGCUGUUCGCCAAUUAAAGCGGUACGCGAGCUGGGUUCAGAACGUCGUGAGACAGUUCGGUCCCUAUCUGUCGUGGGCGCAGGAUAUUUGAUGGGAGCUGUUCCUAGUACGAGAGGACCGGAGCGGACGUACCUCUGGCGCACCAGUUGUUCUGCCAAGGGCAUAGCUGGGCAACUAUGUACGGAUCGGAUAAACGCUGAAAGCAUCUAAGCGUGAAGCCGACCCAAAGAUAAGAUAUCCCAUUGUUUCAAACAAGUAAGACCCCUUGAAGACUACAAGGUUGAUAGGCACGAUGUGUAAGUGGAGCGAUCCAUACAGCAAGCGUGUACUAAUAGGUCGAGGGCUUGACCUA
Molecule: ribosomal RNA, 1574 nt
Filed under: metagenome
Description: bacterial LSU rRNA
Rfam family: Bacterial large subunit ribosomal RNA
Source: RNAcentral